CCUGGCUCAGAUUGAACGCUGGCGGCAGGCCUAACACAUGCAAGUCGAGCGGUAGCACAGAGAGCUUGCUCUCGGGUGACGAGCGGCGGACGGGUGAGUAAUGUCUGGGAAACUGCCUGAUGGAGGGGGAUAACUACUGGAAACGGUAGCUAAUACCGCAUAACGUCGCAAGACCAAAGUGGGGGACCUUCGGGCCUCAUGCCAUCAGAUGUGCCCAGAUGGGAUUAGCUAGUAGGUGGGGUAACGGCUCACCUAGGCGACGAUCCCUAGCUGGUCUGAGAGGAUGACCAGCCACACUGGAACUGAGACACGGUCCAGACUCCUACGGGAGGCAGCAGUGGGGAAUAUUGCACAAUGGGCGCAAGCCUGAUGCAGCCAUGCCGCGUGUGUGAAGAAGGCCUUCGGGUUGUAAAGCACUUUCAGCGGGGAGGAAGGCGGUGAGGUUAAUAACCUCACGGAUUGACGUACCCGCAGAAGAAGCACCGGCUAACUCCGUGCCAGCAGCCGCGGUAAUACGGAGGGUGCAAGCGUUAAUCGGAAUUACUGGGCGUAAAGCGCACGCAGGCGGUCUGUCAAGUCGGAUGUGAAAUCCCCGGGCUCAACCUGGGAACUGCAUUCGAAACUGGCAGGCUAGAGUCUUGUAGAGGGGGGUAGAAUUCCAGGUGUAGCGGUGAAAUGCGUAGAGAUCUGGAGGAAUACCGGUGGCGAAGGCGGCCCCCUGGACAAAGACUGACGCUCAGGUGCGAAAGCGUGGGGAGCAAACAGGAUUAGAUACCCUGGUAGUCCACGCUGUAAACGAUGUCGAUUUGGAGGUUGUGCCCUUGAGGCGUGGCUUCCGGAGCUAACGCGUUAAAUCGACCGCCUGGGGAGUACGGCCGCAAGGUUAAAACUCAAAUGAAUUGACGGGGGCCCGCACAAGCGGUGGAGCAUGUGGUUUAAUUCGAUGCAACGCGAAGAACCUUACCUGGUCUUGACAUCCACAGAACUUUCCAGAGAUGGAUUGGUGCCUUCGGGAACUGUGAGACAGGUGCUGCAUGGCUGUCGUCAGCUCGUGUUGUGAAAUGUUGGGUUAAGUCCCGCAACGAGCGCAACCCUUAUCCUUUGUUGCCAGCGGUUAGGCCGGGAACUCAAAGGAGACUGCCAGUGAUAAACUGGAGGAAGGUGGGGAUGACGUCAAGUCAUCAUGGCCCUUACGACCAGGGCUACACACGUGCUACAAUGGCAUAUACAAAGAGAAGCGACCUCGCGAGAGCAAGCGGACCUCAUAAAGUAUGUCGUAGUCCGGAUUGGAGUCUGCAACUCGACUCCAUGAAGUCGGAAUCGCUAGUAAUCGUAGAUCAGAAUGCUACGGUGGAAUACGUUCCCGGGGCCUUGUACACACCGCCCGUCACACCAUGGGAGUGGGUUGCAAAAGAAGUAGGUAGCUUAACCUUCGGGAGGGCGCUUACCACUUUGUGAUUCAUGACUGGGGUGAAGUCGUAACAAGGUAGCCGU
RNAcentral lists this ribosomal RNA (1494 nucleotides) under Klebsiella sp. HK 34-2. RNAcentral's name for it is "bacterial SSU rRNA". It matches the Rfam family "Bacterial small subunit ribosomal RNA". Lineage: Bacteria; Pseudomonadati; Pseudomonadota; Gammaproteobacteria; Enterobacterales; Enterobacteriaceae. The record is from RNAcentral.